AGCAGCGCGGCUCAGUGGAAAGAGCCCGGCCUUGGGAGACGGGGGUCAUGGGUUCGAAUCCCGCCUCUGCUG
Molecule: transfer RNA, 72 nt
Filed under: Ornithorhynchus anatinus (platypus)
Lineage: Eukaryota; Metazoa; Chordata; Mammalia; Monotremata; Ornithorhynchidae
Rfam family: tRNA
About the family: Transfer RNA (tRNA) molecules are approximately 80 nucleotides in length. Their secondary structure includes four short double-helical elements and three loops (D, anti-codon, and T loops).
Source: Rfam by way of RNAcentral